UACGUAGGCAGCGAGCGUUGUUCGGAGUUACUGGGCGUAAAGGGUGUGUAGGCGGUUGUUUAAGUUUGGUGUGAAAUCUCCCGGCUCAACUGGGAGGGUGCGCCGAAUACUGAAUGACUAGAGUGCGGGAGAGGAAAGUGGAAUUCCUGGUGUAGCGGUGAAAUGCGUAGAUAUCAGGAGGAACACCGGUGGUGUAGACGGCUUUCUGGACCGUAGCUGACGCUGAGACACGAAAGCGUGGGUAGCAAACAGG
This 253-nucleotide ribosomal RNA is filed under the name uncultured bacterium. RNAcentral describes it as "partial 16S ribosomal RNA". It matches the Rfam family "Bacterial small subunit ribosomal RNA", at positions 524 to 776 of the family's 1533-position model. The record is from RNAcentral.